This is a long non-coding RNA of Suricata suricatta (meerkat), 1313 nucleotides long. RefSeq lists it as uncharacterized. The record is from RefSeq and is a predicted model, not a curated record. The transcript has 4 exons. Lineage: Eukaryota; Metazoa; Chordata; Mammalia; Carnivora; Herpestidae.
GAUUUUGCACCCCUCUAGGAAACAAUGUCUGGAGACGAUUUUGAUUGAUUUAACUCAGGAGAUGCUACCAGCAUCUAGUAAAACAGGAAUGUGGCUGAACUCCUUCAUGGAAAGGACAACUGCCCACAACAGAAUUUUCUGGUCCAGACAUCAGUAGUUGCAGGGUUGAGAAAUCCUGCCUUAGAAAGGAAGAAGGCCACGUGAAGAUAGUGAGACACCAGGGAGAAGGAUAUAAGAGUGGAAGCAGAAUCUGCAGUGAUGCAACUAUAAGACAAGAAACACCAAGGAUUGCAGGGAGCCACUAGAAGCUAGGAAGAAGCUUUCAGAGAUGUGGAAGUGGGCAGUGUGGAUGCUACUAGAAGGCAGUCCCGUGGGAGGUAGAGGUGCCCCCACUGCCCAAGAGCACAAAAGAGACAGAAAAAUUGUUAUGCACAGAAUGCACAGUGGUUUGGAGGCAUAUAAUGCUACACCACUUGAACCGAUCUGAGAGCAUCAUGGUGGUAACAACAAGGGUGAUAUUGAUCAUACAGAAAUACAGCCCUAACGAGGAGAUUCUCCUUGCGAAGCAAAAGGCCAGAACCUGACAAGCUCACGCUGCGAAGUCUCACGGAGCCAGCUAACUGAUCCUCCCCGAUGGCACUCUGCCUUUGUGCCUCCUCCCCCGCCAAACUUCAGUGGAAUCUCCAAAGGAACUGAUACUUGAUCGCAUCAUUAAGAUUGAGUGGACCGCAAGCACGUGCCAGAGACAGUGUUCCCAACUGGACCAAAGCAUCCCACCAGAGAAGAACAGACAAAGAAAAGGAAGAAACAGUAAUUCUGGAGCUCUACGGUCUCUCGGUUUGGACUCUAAUUCAAGCUGCUACAUUUCUUGGCCUUGCAAUUCCUGGACUUGAAAAGUUAGUUCUACAAAGCAAAACUGCAUGGCGUAAAGCAUGCCUUAGGUGAUGGAGUAAACCUUUGUCUCGAAAAUCCUGAAGCCUGGAAACAUUCUCACUGAAGAGCUGAUGAGUGUCUCCCUUGGCAAUUCUCUAGGUGGGCUUUGCUGAUGGUCAAACUGGGGGAAGAGCAGACUUGGAGGUCCCUGCAGAAAUCAAGGAGGGACCACUGAGCACGAAAUAAAUGAAAUAAAACAAAACUCUAAAAAGCUCCGUGUUUGCCCACACCCGGAACGGGCUCAGCACAGGCCAGACCCCUCUGUGGAAAGUUGGCUGAACCUUGCCCUCUGGGAGCAAGGAAAAGCGUCUCUCCUGCCAGGAAUGCUGUGUAAACAUCCUUUUCCUACAGGAUCCUGUGGCUUGGGGGUCCAGCGGAGC